CCCAGCCACCCUCUUGAGAAAGGGGAGAAUGGCCAUCAGCAAUGCAGAGUUCAUUUUAUAAGCAUCUCUCUUGUAUGUGAUCUCUCAUUUCCUUUUGAAGAUAAAAGGCGAGUGAUGAGUGUCCCCUUGGUCUAGUUUUCCUGUCUUCUUUCUGUUGUCUUUCACCUAAAAACCUAGCUAUGAAAAAGCAAGGACUCAGCUGGGCACAUGGUGCAUUAGAAUUCACAUUCCAUCUGAAUAAUAUUAAAUCUCCCUCUUGGCAUCCUGUUUAUGCUAAUCUUUUUCGGGACUUAAUGAUGUUUAUCAGGACUUCCAUUUCCUCUUCUUUAGAAAUGUGCUCAGCUAAUGAAGGAAGGUUGGUUUUCUUGAGAAAGAAAGAUUCAUAAGAAGAGUAUGCAGCAGAUUCUUAUUCUGAGCAUUGCAGGUUCAGCCUCUCACUGCGGUGACUUCAUAUUCAUCAGGAAUAGGUAUAAUCUAUUCUGUGCACAGUUGAUUUAGGGCAGAAAUAAAAGCUCAGACAACAAAGCAAGGCUCCUCUUACACACUACUAUGUCUGAAUACAAAUGGUUCAUAAUUGAAGGCUAAACUUCCUCAUCUCACC
This 601-nucleotide long non-coding RNA is filed under the name Homo sapiens (human). Its description in RNAcentral is "non-protein coding lnc-KL-1:1". Lineage: Eukaryota; Metazoa; Chordata; Mammalia; Primates; Hominidae. The record is from RNAcentral.